GACGAACGCUGGCGGCGUGCUUAACACAUGCAAGUCGAACGGAAAGGCCCCUUUGGGGGUACUCGAGUGGCGAACGGGUGAGUAACACGUGAGUAACCUUCCCUUGACUUCGGGAUAACUUCAGGUAACUGGGGCUAAUACCGGAUAGGAAUCCUUGCUGCAUGGUGGGGGUUGGAAAGCUUCGGCGGUUUUGGCUGUACUCGCGGCUUAUCAGCUUGUUGGUGGGGUAGUGGCUUACCAAGGCUUUGACGGGUAGCCGGCCUGAGAGGGCGACCGGCCACAUUGGGACUGAGAUACGGCCCAGACUCCGACGGGAGGCAGCAGUGGGGAAUAUUGCACAAUGGGCGGAAGCCUGAUGCAGCAACGCCGCGUGCGGGAUGACGGCCUUCGGGUUGUAAACCGCUUUCAGCAGGGGCGAAGCUUGUGGUGACGGUACCUGCAGAAGAAGCACCGGCUAACUACGUG
Molecule: ribosomal RNA, 465 nt
Filed under: uncultured bacterium
Lineage: Bacteria
Description: partial 16S ribosomal RNA
Rfam family: Bacterial small subunit ribosomal RNA
Source: RNAcentral